UCUUCACCUCAUCUUCCUCUCUGGCAGCAGCACACACACAUAUAUAAAAACCCUAGUUUCGUCCUCUCUCAAUUCCGGCAGAAUUGCCGCCGAAAUGCCGCUGCUUCCUGGAGCUCGUCCGUCGUGCCGUCGACCACCGCCGACGUCUUCUCCGCUUCGACGGAACAAGGCAGCAGCAGAAGAAAUCGAGCCUUCUCUUCUGAAGAAUCGCUGCGACUUGUGUCGUCGUCGGUGUCUUCUCUCUCUCUACCUCGACGACAAGGUGGCGACAGUAGCUGCCACGCCUCUCUCACCCUGCUCACCGCUUACUCUACUCCGUCGAGUUUUAAUCGACUCGGUCUCAAGCGGGGAUACGCCACUUAAAGGAAAGGGAAGGAAGCCCUAAUUUCGCCACCUCUAUCAUCUGCUAUCCCUAGGCGCCGCUACUGCACCGCCUGCCACGUCGCGCCGCCCUUCUUGUCUGCUAACCCUAGCCACCGCGACCAGCGCCGCCUGCUCGUCAUCGCCUCUCUCGUCUGCUAACCCUAGCCACCGCGACCAGCGCCACCUGCUCGUCGCCGCCCCUCUCGUCUGCUUACCCUAGCCACCGCGACCAGCGCCGCCUACUCGCCGCGCCCCUCUCAUUGUAUGUACAAUUUUCUAUUUUUGCACAUUAGUUUGUUCGAUUUUGUGUUUGAUUGCAUUGACAAAGUAAAUCUCUCGUUGUUGUAGGACAUGGAAUAUGGGUUGAGGUUAAUUGUUGCCUCUAAUUCAUGGAUUUUGCACUGAGUUUAUUUUGUUUUAUUUUAGAUUUGCUAUCUGUUUAGAAGAGAUUUAGUGUUUCUAAGGUUAGUUUUGCUUCUCGCUCCAUUGCUAUCAUCAGAGGUUAUCAAUUCUAGCUCUUCCCCUUCUACUAGAAAGCUGACUCACAGUCUCACAUUUUUGUGCUUUUUAGAUUCUGUUUAAAGUGAGCUCUGUUUUUCUAUUGCAGAUUGAUUCCAUUUGCAUCUUACUUGAUGCUCGUAUAGUUGGGACUUUGGUGCAAUUUAUUUCUUCUUUCAUGUUCCUUAAGUUUGUUCCUAGCAAACACAUGGUAACAGUUUUGUGAUCUGGUGAGUACUUAGAUUUGCUCGUUUCUCGCUCACGGCUUAUCUGUGGUAUCUAUCUAUUGCUGAUUGAAAUCAAAGUGUUUGAAUCAUAAUGUUAUAAGAUUAUUGUAUUACAUGAAAAGAGGCAGGAACUUUUUGUUUUCUACUUGCUCGAUUCUCGCUCACAGCUUAUCUGUGGUAUCUAUCUAUUGCUGAUUCAAUUUCAAAUAGGAAUUAUGUAUGUCCAGUUAUUUUGUGAGCUUGACAUUUUCAUGUUUUAAUAGGUUUAAUCUCCUUAGUUAAUUUAAUAGUAUUAGAUAGAAUGUUACUUGAGCUUUUGAAAGAUCCGUGUAAUUGACACUUACCCCUCUUAUGUUCAACAACACUUUUGAGCCAUCAGAGGUUGGUAUGUUGGCCAGGUGCUUGUGCGCGCCGCUGGUUUCUAUCCGAGUCAGAAAGAUCAACAAGCAAGGAACAUUUCUGUCUUUAACCUCUGUAAGGUGCAGGUCCCUUCAACAAUUGGUGAUUUUGGUAAUCUGACAGUCGGCUUUCCUACAUCUACUGGAACCAGAGAAAUCAUGAGGCUUUUUGUUUUGAGCUGCGGCACCUGCCAUUAUAUCAACACAAACCAAAUCAACCUGUGAGAUAGGUAUCCAUUCUAAAAUCUUGAAUGCAUCGCUAAUAUCUUUAGUAUCAUCAUGUGUAUGAAAGAUGCCCAUUUUAGUACAGGCGGCGUUUUACCGCAGGCACACGAUAUUUCAAACACAUAUAGUUAAAUUUGUUCGCAGAGAGGAAUGACAGCAUAAUCAACAUUCUUUAAGAUCGUCUCCGAAAUAAAAAUUUUGUAAGUUAUUAUUAAAAUUUGAUAGACAGCACUACCAAUGGUGACUUGACGUACCUGUGUUGCCUGAAACUGCAUUUUGAAGACUGCUUUGAUCUUUUUCUCGCUUCGCUUGAACAUCUUUCCUGGAUAUUAUGCAUCAAAAUUUCUGGGCUCUUUGUGAGGGAGGAGCUGCAGUCCUUAUCUAGGUGCCAGUUAAUAGUCUAAAUGAUUUGGUGGUUAGAUAAAGAGCCAAAACUAAAUUAUCAAAAGCCCUUGUUUUUUAUAUGCUGCAAAGAAGUUACAAUAAGUGGCUGUCAUGAAUCAGGAGCUCUGAAUUAGUUAAUGUUUUUUUCUACUUUCUUGGUUAAUGGAUUAACUAUGUGUUUGUGUGUGUCUGCGUGUGUUUGUGCGUGAGAGAGAGAGAGAGAGAGAGUGA
Long non-coding RNA from Salvia miltiorrhiza (redroot sage), 2326 nucleotides. RefSeq lists it as uncharacterized. Lineage: Eukaryota; Viridiplantae; Streptophyta; Magnoliopsida; Lamiales; Lamiaceae. The record is from RefSeq and is a predicted model, not a curated record. The transcript is spliced from 4 exons.